Long non-coding RNA from Mobula hypostoma (lesser devil ray), 813 nucleotides. RefSeq lists it as uncharacterized. Lineage: Eukaryota; Metazoa; Chordata; Chondrichthyes; Myliobatiformes; Myliobatidae. The transcript has 3 exons. The record is from RefSeq and is a predicted model, not a curated record.
CUUGGUGCUGUGGCGGGUGCGGAACUUGCCAAGGUGCAAAGACACUGCAGAAAGCCCGAGGAAGGAGGAGAAUGGGACUUUGAACCAUCAUUGCCCUGUAGGGCAAAUUGCCUGGCAGAGAGGCAUAGAGAUGCCGUCUGACCUGCUGAAUUCCUCCAUCAUUUUGUGUGCGUCACACUGGAUUUCCAGCCUCUGCAGUAUCUCUUGUGUCACUGAUUUUUCCUGCUUGCCUCUUUGUCCUGGAGACAUACACCCAGUGGCCAUUUUGUCCUGCUCAUUAAUGCAAAUAUCUAAUCAGCCAAUCAUGUGCCAGCAACUCAAUGCAUAAAAGCAUGCAGACAUGGUCAAGAUGUUCAGUUGUUGUUCAGACCAAACAUUAGAAUGGGGAAUAAGUGUGAUCUAAGUGACUUUGACUGUGGAAUGAUUGUUGGUGCCAGAUAGGGUGGUUUGAGUAUCUCAGAAACUGCUGAUCUCCUGCCAUUCUCAGCACGACAGUCUCUCGAAUUCACAGAGAAUGGUGAGAAAAACAAAAACCAUCCAGUGAGCAGCAGUCCUGUGGGAGAGAACACCUUGUUAAUGAGAGAGGUCAGAAGAGGAUGGCCAGACUGGUUCAAGCUGACAGGAAGGUGACAGUAACUCAGGUAACCAAAUGUGAUGUCUGCAGAAGCGGAUGGGCUACAGCAGCAGAAGACCACGAACGUAUACUCAGUGAUCACUCAAUUCUGUACCUGAUGAAGUGGUCACUGAGUGUAUGAGUCUUAUAGCGAUAGGAGACUACAACCAAUGACCCUCUCUACUGACAACAGAAGUGUA